AGCAGCCGCGGUAAUUCCAGCUCCAAUAGCGUAUAUUAAAGUUGUUGCAGUUAAAAAGCUCGUAGUUGAAUUUCGGGAUCUGUCCGUUGGUCGGGCCUCACGGUCCGCACUGAUGUGAUGGGUUCCUACCUUCUGAAUAACCGGUAUGCCAUUAAUUUGAUGUGCCGGGGAAGCAGAACCAUUACCUUGAAAAAAUUAGAGUGCUCAAAGCAGGCUUGUGCCUGAAUACAUUAGCAUGGAAUAAUAAAAUAGGACGGCAUGGUUCUAUUUUGUUGGUUUCUAGGAUCACCGUAAUGAUUAAUAGGGAUAGUUGGGGGCAUUAGUAUUCAAUUGUCAGAGGUGAAAUUCUUGGAUUUAUUGAAGACUAACUUCUGCGAAAGCAUUUGCCAAGGAUGUUUUCAUUAAUCAAGAACGAAAGUUAGGGGAUCGAAGACGAUCAGAUACCGUCGUAGUCUUAACCAUAAACUAUGCCGACUAGGGAUCGGACGAUGUUAAUUUUAUAAUGACUCGUUCGGCGCCUUACG
This 524-nucleotide ribosomal RNA is filed under the name uncultured Glomeromycotina. Its description in RNAcentral is "SSU rRNA". It matches the Rfam family "Eukaryotic small subunit ribosomal RNA", at positions 569 to 1092 of the family's 1831-position model. Lineage: Eukaryota; Fungi; Glomeromycota. The record is from RNAcentral.